UACGUAGGGUGCGAGCGUUGUCCGGAAUUAUUGGGCGUAAAGAGCUUGUAGGCGGUUUGUCGCGUCUGCUGUGAAAAUCCGGGGCUCAACUCCGGACUUGCAGUGGGUACGGGCAGGCUAGAGUGUGGUAGGGGAGACUGGAAUUCCUGGUGUAGCGGUGGAAUGCGCAGAUAUCAGGAGGAACACCGAUGGCGAAGGCAGGUCUCUGGGCCACUACUGACGCUGAGAAGCGAAAGCAUGGGGAGCGAACAGG
RNAcentral lists this ribosomal RNA (253 nucleotides) under uncultured bacterium. RNAcentral's name for it is "partial 16S ribosomal RNA". It matches the Rfam family "Bacterial small subunit ribosomal RNA", at positions 524 to 776 of the family's 1533-position model. The record is from RNAcentral.